AGGAGUGUAGCUCAACUGGUAGAGCACCGGUCUCCAAAACCGGGGGUUGCGGGUUCAAGUCCUGCCACUCCUGCCA
This 76-nucleotide transfer RNA is filed under the name Fidelibacterota bacterium. RNAcentral's name for it is "tRNA-Trp". It matches the Rfam family "tRNA". Rfam says of the family: Transfer RNA (tRNA) molecules are approximately 80 nucleotides in length. Their secondary structure includes four short double-helical elements and three loops (D, anti-codon, and T loops). Further hydrogen bonds mediate the characteristic L-shaped molecular structure. tRNAs have two regions of fundamental functional importance: the anti-codon, which is responsible for specific mRNA codon recognition, and the 3' end, to which the tRNAs corresponding amino acid is attached (by aminoacyl-tRNA synthetases). tRNAs cope with the degeneracy of the genetic code in two manners: having more than one tRNA (with a specific anti-codon) for a particular amino acid; and 'wobble' base-pairing, i.e. permitting non-standard base-pairing at the 3rd anti-codon position. Lineage: Bacteria; Pseudomonadati; Fidelibacterota. The record is from RNAcentral.